AGCAGCCGCGGUAAUUCCAGCUCCAAUAGCGUAUAUUAAAGUUGUUGCAGUUAAAAAGCUCGUAGUUGAAUUUCGGGAUCAAUAUAUCGGUCGUGCCAUUGGUACGUACUGGUAUCAUUGGUUUCUCCUUUCUGACGAACCAUGAUGUCAUUAAUUUGGUGUUAUGGGAAGUUAGGACUGUUACUUUGAAAAAUUAGAGUGUUUAAAGCAGGCUUUAGCUUGAAUACAUUAGCAUGGAAUAAUGAAAUAGGACGUUCGAACCUAUUUUGUUGGUUUCUAGGAUCAACGUAAUGAUUAAUAGGGAUAGUUGGGGGCAUUAGUAUUCAAUUGUCAGAGGUGAAAUUCUUGGAUUUAUUGAAGACUAACUACUGCGAAAGCAUUUGCCAAGGAUGUUUUCAUUAAUCAAGAACGAAAGUUAGGGGAUCGAAGACGAUCAGAUACCGUCGUAGUCUUAACC
Molecule: ribosomal RNA, 457 nt
Filed under: uncultured Glomus
Lineage: Eukaryota; Fungi; Glomeromycota; Glomeromycetes; Glomerales; Glomeraceae
Description: SSU rRNA
Rfam family: Eukaryotic small subunit ribosomal RNA
Source: RNAcentral